UACGUAGGAGGCAAGCGUUAUCCGGAAUGACUGGGCGUAAAGGGUGCGUAGGUGGUUUGACAAGUUAGUAGCGCAACUCCGGAGCUCAACUUCGGAACUACUACUAAAACUGUUGGACUUGAGUGCAGGAGGGGCAAUCGGAAUUCCUAGUGUAGCGGUGGAAUGCGUAGAUAUAUGGAAGAACACCAGUGGCGAAGGCGGCCGCCUGGCCUGUUGCUGACGCUGAGGCACGAAAGCGUGGGGAGCAAAUAGG
RNAcentral lists this ribosomal RNA (253 nucleotides) under uncultured Eubacteriales bacterium. RNAcentral describes it as "uncultured Clostridiales bacterium partial 16S ribosomal RNA". It matches the Rfam family "Bacterial small subunit ribosomal RNA", at positions 524 to 776 of the family's 1533-position model. The record is from RNAcentral. Lineage: Bacteria; Bacillati; Bacillota; Clostridia; Eubacteriales.